This 274-nucleotide ribosomal RNA is filed under the name uncultured Staphylococcus sp. RNAcentral's name for it is "partial 16S ribosomal RNA". It matches the Rfam family "Bacterial small subunit ribosomal RNA", at positions 89 to 354 of the family's 1533-position model. The record is from RNAcentral. Lineage: Bacteria; Bacillati; Bacillota; Bacilli; Caryophanales; Staphylococcaceae.
AUGUUAGCGGCGGACGGGUGAGUAACACGUGGGUAACCUACCUAUAAGACUGGGAUAACUCCGGGAAACCGGGGCUAAUACCGGAUAAUAUUUUGAACCGCAUGGUUCAAUAGUGAAAGACGGUUUCGGCUGUCACUUAUAGAUGGACCCGCGCCGUAUUAGCUAGUUGGUAAGGUAACGGCUUACCAAGGCGACGAUACGUAGCCGACCUGAGAGGGCGAUCGGCCACACUGGAACUGAGACACGGUCCAGACUCCUACGGGAGGCAGCAGAG